RNAcentral lists this long non-coding RNA (208 nucleotides) under Hordeum vulgare. Its description in RNAcentral is "long non-coding RNA (HVUL_LNC004689)". The record is from RNAcentral. Lineage: Eukaryota; Viridiplantae; Streptophyta; Magnoliopsida; Poales; Poaceae.
UAUGAACGAGCAUUGUCAAAUUAUGAAUGUUAGGAAACACAUAUAUUAGCAUGCACGAACUUCAAGGCUUUCCGAGUACGCCGACAUCGACGACGGUGAGGAGGAUUUUGUUUCUACAUUUUGUAUUUUUCUUUUAUUUCUACAUUUUGUAGUACCCAUAGGUUGUAAUGCUAUGUAAUAGAUAUAUGUUGGAAUUCUUAAUCAGGGG